Molecule: ribosomal RNA, 255 nt
Filed under: uncultured bacterium
Lineage: Bacteria
Description: partial small subunit ribosomal RNA
Rfam family: Bacterial small subunit ribosomal RNA
Source: RNAcentral
AGGACGAACGCUGGCGGCGUGCUUAACACAUGCAAGUCGAGCGGAAAGGCCCUUCGGGGUACUCGAGCGGCGAACGGGUGAGUAACACGUGAGCAACCUGCCCUCAGCUCUGGGAUAGCUCCGGGAAACCGGAAUUAAUACCGGAUACGACUACGGCCGACAUCGGCUUUGGUGGAAAGGGUUUCCGGCUGAGGAUGGGCUCGCGGCCUAUCAGCUAGUUGGUGGGGUAAUGGCCCACCAAGGCGACGACGGGUA